UGCAUUUUAAAACAAAUGGUUUUCAAAGAGGAAAAAUAAUUUGUAUCCCAAAAACCAUUUGACAUACAUGUUUCACUAAAAUAGAAUAAAAUCAUGUUAUGAAGUUAAUUUGUUACCUGAAGCUACAAUGGAUGCAAUGGAUAUAAUUGCAAAGAUAACAUAGAGACUCUUGAUAUUGGUGGCCAUUCUACUUUGAAAGGUUUAAGAGCAAGUGCUUCCGGUAUGUUAUUUGAAAUGGCUAGAGAAGUGUAAACCAAAAAAAAACAAAAUGGCUAGAGAAGUAAUUGAAAGAUUUUUUGUUUUUACCAAAGUAAUUGAAUGAAUUUAAAACUUAUAUAUAUGAAGGGUCAUUUAUGAAAUAAUAUUAAAUAUAUAUAAUGAUAACAACAUUAGACAUAUAUUGAAGGGUACAUAUAUAUAAUAUU
This 425-nucleotide long non-coding RNA is filed under the name Trifolium pratense (red clover). Its description in RNAcentral is "long non-coding RNA (TPRA_LNC012493)". Lineage: Eukaryota; Viridiplantae; Streptophyta; Magnoliopsida; Fabales; Fabaceae. The record is from RNAcentral.